AGGGACUGUAGAGAUGGCUCAGAGGUUAAA
RNAcentral lists this non-coding RNA (30 nucleotides) under Cricetulus griseus (Chinese hamster). The record is from RNAcentral. Lineage: Eukaryota; Metazoa; Chordata; Mammalia; Rodentia; Cricetidae.